Non-coding RNA from Pantherophis guttatus, 614 nucleotides. Lineage: Eukaryota; Metazoa; Chordata; Lepidosauria; Squamata; Colubridae. The record is from RefSeq and is a predicted model, not a curated record.
AAUAACAUUCACUUCUUCCGUCGCCUCAAAAUCCCAUCCUCGUCGCCACUUGUUGUGUUUGGAUUAUAGUCAUUAACUGAGGCGAGGAUGUCAACGUAACAUCGGUUUAUUUCAGGCAACAGCAAAACAUUAGAAUACUGAACUGUCAGUCUAUCUGACAGUUUGCCUUUUUAUACUUGGCAAACAGAACAGCAUUAACCAAUCAGGAAAUGAGUAACUCCCACACUUAGCAUAACCCCGUCCCAACCAAUCAGGUGCAGGCAUUUCCAUCGCUAUGGUAACGCGCCAACACAACAACUCCAACUUGACAGUUGCUCCCAGCAGAUGUUCUGAUAAAUGAUAGAAGCUGUAGCUCCCAGUCUACCUCCCUACAGGGCAGGCAGCCUAAAGAAGCGUCUCCAUGCCGCUUCUACAAGACGCUGCUCAGGGUCUGCGCUUCCUUCUGGGCAGGCAGCCGAGAGAGCCUGUCUCCUGCACUCCUCUAAAAGCUCUAAUGCUCCGAAGGGAUAAACUAUAUCUAAAAGAUGUCAAUGAAAGAAUGGCAGAUAUGGAAGAAGUUUUACCUGAUAUGAUAAAGUACAAAAUGUAGAACUACAAAUAACAGGUGAAGAGAU